RNAcentral lists this ribosomal RNA (497 nucleotides) under uncultured bacterium. Its description in RNAcentral is "partial 16S ribosomal RNA". It matches the Rfam family "Bacterial small subunit ribosomal RNA", at positions 28 to 507 of the family's 1533-position model. The record is from RNAcentral.
GAUGAACGCUGGCGGCGUGCCUAAUACAUGCAAGUCGAGCGAACGGCCGAGAAGCUUGCUUUUCUGAUGUUAGCGGCGGAAGGGGGAGUAACACGUGGAUAACCUACCUAUAAGACUGGGAUAACUUCGGGAAACCGGAGCUAUUACCGGAUAAUAUUUUGAACCGCAUGGUUCAAAAGUGAAAGACGGUCUUGCUGUCACUUAUAGAUGGAUCCGCGCUGCAUUAGCUAGUUGGUAAGGUAACGGCUUACCAAGGCAACGAUGCAUAGCCGACCUGAGAGGGUGAUCGGCCACACUGGAACUGAGACACGGUCCAGACUCCUACGGGAGGCAGCAGUAGGGAAUCUUCCGCAAUGGGCGAAAGCCUGACGGAGCAACGCCGCGUGAGUGAUGAAGGUCUUCGGAUCGUAAAACUCUGUUAUUAGGGAAGAACAUAUGUGUAAGUAACUGUGCACAUCUUGACGGUACCUAAUCAGAAAGCCACGGCUAACUACGUG